RNAcentral lists this long non-coding RNA (265 nucleotides) under Amborella trichopoda. RNAcentral describes it as "long non-coding RNA (ATRI_LNC003575)". Lineage: Eukaryota; Viridiplantae; Streptophyta; Magnoliopsida; Amborellales; Amborellaceae. The record is from RNAcentral.
UUGGUUUUUAGGAAUUCAAUAAAAAAUGAGGGUACUCCAUUAAGAAUUUUCAUGUUUUUGAAUGAAUAUGCGAAUAUUGAUAUGUUCUUUCCAUGCAUGAACCGCCAUUCAGCAUUUAAUUUACAGUAUUUCGUGCUCAUCCCUACACUGUUGCUGUUGGGACUCGAUAUGUGAAUUAUAUGGCUGGGAUAGGGUGGCCUCAAAAUCAUCAUCUCUCUCGUUUUCUCUUUGAAUAAUAUGGAUUAAAAAAAAAAAAAAAACAAAU